RNA transcript from Oreochromis aureus, 4161 nucleotides. It is a transcript of the gene named 5'-AMP-activated protein kinase subunit gamma-2-like, with no coding region annotated. The record is from RefSeq and is a predicted model, not a curated record. Lineage: Eukaryota; Metazoa; Chordata; Actinopteri; Cichliformes; Cichlidae. The transcript has 16 exons.
UGGGGUUACAUACAGUGUGACAUAACACCUGUAAGCAGUCCUCGCUGUUGCACGCCUUCUUCUUCUUUUUUUUUUGUGAACAUGUGUGUGCCCUGCCUCUCUUUUUUCACGGCCAAACCUACUUCCUGGUGGAUGAGGCAGCUCCUCAGUGUUGUCGAGGCUAAAGGGAAGGUGGAGGCGGCUGUAGACGGUGUGCAGACGCGAUACAGCAGUUUUUUUCCCAGUACACUUUAUUAGUAGUAUUUUAUAUUUUUUUUUUUUUAAGGUGUUGCGCGUUUGCAGGAAAACAAAACAAAACAAAACAAAACAUGGGAAGCACGGUGAUGGAGUCCAGCAAGGGGAGCUCAAAGAAAAUACCAAAGAAGAGGAGAAGUCUGCGGAUUAACAUGCCAGAUUUCGGGGCGUUUAAUGCCCCUCAAGUGGAGACGAGUGGCUCAACCAAAAGCGGAGCCCACACGGGAGAGCGGCUCAUUCGUUCAGCCAGCCCCAUCAAAGGAGGUUCUGCGAAGAGCCCGGACAUCGCCACACUGCCUCCAUGUCCCCAGUCUGCUCCAGUUCAAUCAAAGCCAAAUUCAGGUUCCCCCAAAAGCAUCUUCCCUUAUCCCUCCCAUCAGAACUCCCCUAAGUCCCCUCGUCGACUGAGCUUCAGCGGUAUCUUCCGGUCGUCCGGUUCUCCCUCUUCGAGCAUCAAACUCUUUUCCAGAACCAGGAGAGCCUCUGGACUCUCUACACCACCCCACACCCCAACCCAGGCAUCCAGCCAACCAGUGUUCACCCAGGAGGCCCAGCAGAGCGGCCCCAGCCCUGAACGCCCGGCGCAAAGCUCUCGCUCUCGCUCCCUUUCCACACCUCCGGACACAGGACAGCGCCUCAGCCUUCCUUCUGCUAAACCCCCAGUCCCUUCAUCGAGCCCCGUGCCACCUUAUUCUACCUCACAACAAGUCUACAGUUUAUUCGAAGGCAUGCUGGAGAAACUUGAUCUAGACGAUGAUGCUGCUGAACCCGAGAGUGAUAUUUACAUGCGCUUUAUGAAAUCCCACAAGUGCUAUGACAUCGUCCCCACAAGCUCCAAGUUGGUUGUGUUUGACACAGCACUCCAAGUUAAGAAAGCAUUCUUCGCCUUGGUAGCCAACGGUGUGCGGGCUGCUCCACUAUGGGACACAGAGAAGCAAAGCUUUGUGGGAAUGCUGACAAUCACAGAUUUCAUCAUCAUACUACACAGAUACUAUAAGUCACCGAUGGUGCAAAUUUAUGAAUUAGAGGAACAUAAGCUCGAGACGUGGAGAGAGGUUUACCUUCAAGCAACAUUCAAACCUCUGGUGAACAUAUCACCAGAUGCAAGCCUAUUUGACGCCGUCUACACUCUCAUCAAAAACAAAAUUCACCGGCUGCCUGUCAUCGACCCCGUUACAGGGAAUGCACUUUAUAUUCUCACACACAAGAGGAUCCUCAAGUUCCUCCAGCUCUUUAUGUGUGAGAUGCCAAAGCCAGCUUUUAUGAAACAGACUCUUGGCGAGCUGGGCAUCGGAACAUACCACGACAUUGCUUUCAUCCACCCAGACACACCCAUCAUCAAAGCACUCAACAUCUUUGUGGAGCGGCGAGUGUCUGCUUUGCCUGUGGUGGAUGACUCGGGCAAAGUUGUGGAUAUUUACUCCAAGUUUGAUGUGAUUAACUUGGCUGCUGAGAAGACGUACAACAAUCUGGACAUUUCAGUGACCCAGGCUCUGAAACAUCGCUCUCAGUACUUCGAAGGAGUUAUGAAGUGCCAUAAAAUGGAAACGAUGGAGACCAUUGUGGACAGAAUAGUCAAAGCUGAAGUGCAUCGGUUGGUGGUGGUGGACGAGCGCUCCAGUAUCGAGGGCAUCGUUUCCCUGUCAGACAUCCUUCAGGCGCUGGUGCUCAGUCCUGCAGGUAUAGAUGCUCAGCAUUGCUAGCGUCAACUCCCCCUCUGCCCUGGACCUUGAGCUCUCUCUAGCCACCUGCCCUCUAACCCUGCCCCAGAUACCUGUAAGGAGGAGAACACGACUGAAUGAGAAGUGGAUGUAUCAGCUUAAGUGGAGAUGUGGUGGGAGUAAUUAAAUUGAAACAUUAAGGUAGGGAGUGUAAGGCUGAGUGGAGCCAGGCUGAAGGUCCCAGAUACCCCUGAAACCAAUGCACUAAUAAAGGCUUGGAACCCAAAGAGCUAGACUGCUGAGUGAAGUGGACUUCUGCACUGAAGAUUGAUUUUGGGUUUUUUUUGUUUGUUUGUUUUUGGGUUUUUUUUCCCCUGAAUUUCUUCUUUGUUAGUGUUUUUUUUUUUUUUUUUUUUUUUUUUAUAAACACUGAUCAAAUACGCACAUAAGAUAAGAUAACCUUUAUUAGUCCCACACGUGGGAAAUUUGUUUUGUCACAGCAGGAAGUGGACAUGUUAAGGGUGUAGACACUGAUCAGCUGCAACAUUAAAACCACUGAUGGGCGGAUUAAACAUUGAGUCCAGUGUGUUCUAAUUGUGUUUUGGGUCCCGACAUUUAUGAGGUACAUAACAUUCCUUGCUUGAUGAUUCUGCUAAAACGAGAUUGAUUAGACUCUAAAUUAGAAGAAAUGAGAAUAGGUCAAAGAAAAAGUGUUUCAUCAUUUUUAAAAAUCUGAAUUUUCUGCAUGUUAUUGCUGCUUGGGGCGUUCUCGUAAACCGAACAAUUCAGAGAUGCAUGAGAAAUGUGCGGUCAUUAUGUCGUGCAUGCCUUUCCUUUAAUGAGACCAUGCAGUGCAGGUUUGGGUUGUGCUGAAACUGGUUUACAGUUGCUGGAAAUUAAAAAAAAAAAAAAAGUGCCAAAGAUGCUCAUGAGUCAUGUACAGAUGACUCAGAUUAGUGGAAAGGGGCUAUAGCCAUCCACCAACCACCUAAACAGUUUUGCAAACCAGCCCAUCUCUGACCCCCAAGGCAAAAAUUCUCAGGAACACUUCAGUAAACUGCUUCCAAACUUCCCAGAUCCCAAUCUAAUCAGUCAUCCCUGGGGAGCACGGGUAUGACCCGAUCCACCAGGGGUUUGCCCUCAUUGUAUGAUGCCUGAUAGAACAGGACACCCGAGGGUCCUGUCUCCAUUCUCCAUACACUACAGCAGGUUUGGUGGUGUGACUGAGACCUGCCAACAGUAUUGGGACGGUGGUUCUUAUGUUGUGGCUGAUUCCUGUUAACACAGAAACUCCAUUACGGUUUCUUUCUGGGGAAAGUUUGGAAACGUCAACACGGGUUCUGGUGGGUUUGGGAUUCAGUGUUUCGGGUUACAGUCAUGCUGCUGUCAUCACAAGUUUAAGUCACGUAGGAAAGCGAGCGUUAACUGGUAACAAAACCACACGUUACCUGCAAUGUGGUCACUUGACGCCAUUAAAGAAAGUCUUUGCCAGUGCCAAUAUAGACCUGCUCAAUGCCCAAUAUUUAUUUGUGCCUUUACUUACUUCUCUCCACAGAAAUGUAUGUUGUAAAAUGGGUGCAAUGAUGAGUAUGAAUGUGUAAUAUUGAAGUAGAGUGCAAAUUGUACCUGCUGCUUCAAAGGUGUGCAUUAACUCGGUUUGGGGGCGGCAUAAAUUUAAAACUGUGUCAGAAGCGUCAAGAAGUUCUGUUAAAUCUUAUUCUUGAAAGAAAAUCCUAAAUCACACUGGCGCUGUUACGCAUUGCUCAGAGGGAAGAUGCAACUGCACGCUUCUGUCAGCCAGGAGUGCUUUAAGUCAUGAGUGAUCAAUAAGACUUAAGUAUGGAUUUUAUAAUGGUAACACCUGGUUCAGGAAAAAACCUUUUUAAAUAUUUGAAAAGCUUUUUCUUCCCCCCCUUCCCGUUUAUUUUCAGUAGUUUUGAAUCUUCAAAUCAGUCUGGUUAUCUCAGCUGUAGCUCAACAGGACUCAUCUCCAUCUUCGAGUGUAAAUAGGAUCGUUUUCGGGAAAUGUGUCACAGAAAGCUUUAUUUUUAUGAACGCUGACGUGUUUGAAGAGAGACUGCAGGUUUAAUGUUAGUUUUGUAAAUACAUUGUGGCAAUAUGUGUAGUUCAGAGAAACUUUGUAACGGAUCAACAUGUACUGUAAAUGUGCAAGCAUGAGAAACUACACUUCAGCAGUAUGAAUGUUUUUUUUCUUUUACUUUUUCUAUUUUUCUGGCUGCAGAAAAAUAAAGAGACACUGAAUGUA